Molecule: long non-coding RNA, 835 nt
Filed under: Panax ginseng (ginseng)
Lineage: Eukaryota; Viridiplantae; Streptophyta; Magnoliopsida; Apiales; Araliaceae
Description: long non-coding RNA (PGIN_LNC005588)
Source: RNAcentral
UUUAUCCCAUCCUGUGCUCUGCAACCAGAUCUGUUGCACUCCGUUCGUCUCUAUCACCGGAUCUGACCAAGAUCUAAUAUUCUGGCGGAGAUCUAAUAUUAAAAUUCUGGUGGUCAGGUCUAAUAUUAAAAUUAAAAUAAAGAUGUAGGCUCCAUUGAUUCUGCUAUGCAGUGAGGGUAGCUAAUUAAGUGGAAGACAAUUUAUUAAAACUAAGGAAAGUUGAGGCAGAGGACUUGGGGAAGAAGAGUAAGGACGUGUGAGGCAGAGGACUUGGGAAAGAAGAGUAACGACGUGUGAGGCAAAGGAUCUCCGCCUCCGCCGCCGCAUAGAUCUGAUAGAUCUGGCCAUCGUCGAACGAAUAGAUCUGAUAGAUCUGACCUCUUCAGGUACUCAACGAUUCACCAUAUUCGUGCUCCGAUCCUCUUCGUGCUAGAUCUGAUAGAUACUCUAGGUUUGGCCUGUGCAGUGCUUAUGCCCAGUUUCAUCGCCUUUAAUCCUGUCUGUGCACGCUUAUGAAUAAUCAAGAGCAUCAAUAACAACAAUCAGCCAUCAGAUAACAACCCUCAAGCAGUGAUGGAUGCAAGAAUUUUAUAGAGGGCAAAACUGUUAUAACUAAAUGAUAUUAUAAAACUUACUCAUGAAUUUGAUACUCUAUUCCAGGGAAAAAGGGAAAAUAGGCAUUAAUAGUGGUGGAGAAGGAAGGACAGAGAGGAAAAAUAAAUGUUAAAAUAUUUUUGGGAAUGUAAAACGUCAAAUAUUUUGAGAAGAAAAAAAUACUCUAAAACGUCAAAUAUUUUGGGAUGGAGAAAGUAACAAUCUCUUAUUCUAAUAUAAG